GGGGAAUAUUGCGCAAUGGGGGAAACCCUGACGCAGCAAUACCGCGUGAGUGAAGAAGGUUUUCAGAUCGUAAAGCUCUGUUAUUGGGGAAGAAAAAAAGACGGUACCUUCAGAAGAAGCACCGGCUAACUACGUUCCAGCAGCCGCGGUGAUACGUAGGGUGCGAGCGUUGUCCGGAAUUAUUGGGCGUAAAGAGCUUGUAGGCGGUCUGUUGCGUCGGAAGUGAAAACUCAGGGCUUAACCCUGAGCCUGCUUUCGAUACGGGCAGACUUGAGGGAUGUAGGGGAGAACGGAAUUCCUGGUGGAGCGGUGGAAUGCGCAGAUAUCAGGAGGAACACCAGUGGCGAAGGCGGUUCUCUGGACAUUUACUGACGCUGAGAAGCGAAAGCGUGGGGAGCAAACA
RNAcentral lists this ribosomal RNA (403 nucleotides) under uncultured Propionicimonas sp. RNAcentral describes it as "bacterial SSU rRNA". It matches the Rfam family "Bacterial small subunit ribosomal RNA", at positions 356 to 774 of the family's 1533-position model. The record is from RNAcentral. Lineage: Bacteria; Bacillati; Actinomycetota; Actinomycetes; Propionibacteriales; Nocardioidaceae.